UACAGAGGUCCCAAGCGUUGUUCGGAUUCACUGGGCGUAAAGGGUGCGUAGGUGGUGGGGUAAGUUUGAUGUGAAAUCUCCGAGCUUAACUCGGAAAUGGCAUUGAAUACUACUCUGCUGGAGGGUCGGAGGGGAGACUGGAAUUUUCGGUGUAGCAGUGAAAUGCGUGGAUAUCGAAAGGAACACCAGUGGCGAAAGCGAGUCUCUGGACGACUCCUGACACUGAGGCACGAAAGCUAGGGGAGCAAACAGGA
This 254-nucleotide ribosomal RNA is filed under the name uncultured prokaryote. RNAcentral's name for it is "partial 16S ribosomal RNA". It matches the Rfam family "Bacterial small subunit ribosomal RNA", at positions 524 to 777 of the family's 1533-position model. The record is from RNAcentral.